AACGAACGCUGGCGGCGUGCCUAACACAUGCAAGUCGGAUGUGCCGCAAGGUGCAUGGCAGACGGGUGAGUAACGCGUAGGGAAUCUACCUUUUUGUGGGGAAUAACGCUCCGAAAGGAGUGGUAAUACCGCAUGAGACCGUGACCUGGGAUGGUUACGGUGAAACCUGGGGACCGCAAGGCCUGGGGCAAAAAAGAGGAUCCUGCGUCUGAUUAGCUAGCUGGCGGGGUAAUGGCCCACCAAGGCGACGAUCAGUAGCCGGCCUGAGAGGGUGAUCGGCCACACUGGAACUGAGACACGGUCCAGACUCCUACGGAGGCAGCAGUGGGAAUUUUGCGCAAUGGACGAAAGUCUGACGCAGCAACGCCGCGUGGGUGAUGAAGGUCUUCGGACUGUAAAACCCUGUCGUCAGGGACGAAGGUGGCAGUGUUAAUAGCGCUGUUACUUGACGGUACCUGGAGAGGAAGCCCCGGCUAACUCUGUGCCAGCA
Molecule: ribosomal RNA, 490 nt
Filed under: uncultured bacterium
Lineage: Bacteria
Description: bacterial SSU rRNA
Rfam family: Bacterial small subunit ribosomal RNA
Source: RNAcentral